This 268-nucleotide unclassified non-coding RNA is filed under the name uncultured fungus. RNAcentral describes it as "partial contains 5.8S ribosomal RNA, internal transcribed spacer 2, and large subunit ribosomal RNA". The stretch from base 1 to 52 matches the Rfam family "5.8S ribosomal RNA", at positions 103 to 154 of the family's 154-position model. The record is from RNAcentral. Lineage: Eukaryota; Fungi.
AACGCACAUUGCGCCCGCCAGUAUUCUGGCGGGCAUGCCUGUUCGAGCGUCAUUUCAACCCUCGGGUCCCGCAUUCGUGCGGGCUCCGGCGUUGGGGACCGGCCUCCGCAUCGGACGGCCGCCCCCGAAACCCAGUGGCGGUCCCGCCGCGGCCUUCUCUGCGUAGUAGCAUACACCUCGCACUGGAGAGCGGCGCGGCCACGCCGUAAAAGAAACGAACUUUCUGAAGGUUGACCUCGGAUCAGGUAGGAAUACCCGCUGAACUUAA